This 397-nucleotide ribosomal RNA is filed under the name uncultured bacterium. RNAcentral's name for it is "bacterial SSU rRNA". It matches the Rfam family "Bacterial small subunit ribosomal RNA", at positions 64 to 507 of the family's 1533-position model. The record is from RNAcentral.
GAACGGACUCUUCGGAGUUAGUGGCGGACGGGUGAGUAACACGUGGGAACGUGCCUUUAGGUUCGGAAUAGCUCCUGGAAACAGGUGGUAAUACCGAAUGUGCCCUUCGGGGGAAAGAUUUAUCGCCUUUAGAGCGGCCCGCGUCUGAUUAGCUUGUUGGUGAGGUAAUGGCUCACCAAGGCUACGAUCAGUAGCUGGUCUGAGAGGAUGACCAGCCACAUUGGGACUGAGACACGGCCCAAACUCCUACGGGAGGCAGCAGUGGGGAAUCUUGCGCAAUGGGCGAAAGCCUGACGCAGCCAUGCCGCGUGUAUGAUGAAGGUCUUAGGAUUGUAAAAUACUUUCACCGGUGAAGAUAAUGACUGUAGCCGGAGAAGAAGCCCCGGCUAACUUCGUG